Molecule: unclassified non-coding RNA, 449 nt
Filed under: Hevea brasiliensis (rubber tree)
Lineage: Eukaryota; Viridiplantae; Streptophyta; Magnoliopsida; Malpighiales; Euphorbiaceae
Source: RNAcentral
AAUUUCCGCGAAUUGAGGAUACCUCUUCAGUUUGAUCAAGCAUUUCAACGAUGUAAAACUUAAUUUGAUUUUCCUCCUCCUUUUUCAUCCACACCACUCCAUGGAGCAACCGGAAGAUUAAUGCAGAGACAGCAUGAUGAGAGUUCAGUUAAACAAGAGGAAGAAAAGAAAAGUUAACAAGGCACACAAAUUGAACAAACAAAAGCACUUUGCUAUAAAAGAUGGGAAAAUGCCAAACUCUUUGCAUUUCUUGUACAUUCCUUUCAAAUUUCAACAUGGAAAUUGUGACAAGCACAUUAGGAAUGAGUUGGCUUUACAGGGACAAUCCUGAUUCCUCAUCCUCCUGCAAGGUGGAAGUGUAAAUAAUGUAGAAAGCCCAGAUCAGACCAAACACACCCAACAAGAUCCAACCAAGAAGGUUGUUACUCAAACCAAAGGGAAGUCCUGUU